UCAAGGUGAAUUAGAAAAACAACAAAACAAAACAAGAUUCAUUUUAACAUCUCAUUUUUCUAUCUCCAACUUUCCCUCCCCUCCUCCCACCCCAGGAAGAAAAGACUACGUUUGUUUCUGGUGAUACAUUCAUUGUAGGUGGGUGGGUGACUUCUAGAAGAGGAAAAUCAAGAAGAUUUGGAGAAGGAGUCUUGGAAGCUCUGGUGAAGUUUUCCAAAACUGGGAAGGACAGAGGCACAGGUCUGCCUGUUCUUUUGCUUUGCCAUUUGUGUGGAUACCUAGUAGAGCAAUUUGGGUGCCAUUCUUUGAGGAAUCCAUUGGAUCUGUCAGAAAGCUGAGGGUCUGCUCAGCCUGUGUUAGUGGAGAAGAGGGAAGGAAACUGGCUGGAGGCCGCUGGACCCACAGAGGACAAUAGACAAUCUCCUGCUGGUUCGAGCUUCCCAGCUGCAUUGUUUACCUAAGCAAGCCUGGGCAAUGGCGGGCGCCCCUCCCCCAGCCUCGCUGCCGCCUUGCAGUUUGAUCUCAGACUGCUGUGCUAGCAAUCAGCGAGACUCCGUGGGCAUAGGACCCUCCGAGCCAGGUGCAGGAUAUAAUCUUGUGGUGCGCCGUUUUUUAAGCCUGUCCGAAAAGCGCAAUAUUCGCGUGGGAGUGACCCGAUUUUCCAGGAUGCCCACUGGAUCCAAAGAGAGAAACUCUAUAGAAUUAUGAUCUAGGUUUGACUGACUCCUGGCAAGAAGCCCUACCCGCCAGCCAAUUUGGAUGAGGAACACAGAAUCACUUGUGGAAUUAAGAGAUAAGGACAGCAAGUAGACCAAACUAUAAGCUGAGGUUCAAGGUGGCAUAGGCUGGGUGCCACAGUGCUGUGUCUCAGGUCACAGGGGUCAUCCAUCUUUCCUUCUAUGUGACUGGUUUGCUCUUGCAUAUCAUGUUUUCCGGUCUUAUGCUCCAGAUCCAUCAUGAGAAGAACAUGCCCUGGAUUCCUGCUAUCCCUUUAGCCAUGGCUCCAAAAUUAACACACACAAGGAAGACCUGAGGUCAAUCCACAGCCUGGAUUCAAGUCACCUAAUACAUAGGAGAAUCAGAGCUACCCAGCCACACUCAAUCUACGUUAACUGAACCUCAGCUGACCUGCAGAUUUAUGAGUAUGAGAAUAAAGGCUUGUUAAUGUAUAUCAUCAAAAUUAGAAAAAUCCUGGAUUUGAAGUCAAGAGACUUAUAUUUGAAUAUCCACUCUGGAAAAGUCAGAUAAGUUCUCUUCUCUCUGACAUUCAGUUUUUUAUUUGUUAAAAGAGGGAAACAAUUCUAGGGCUUUCAUGAUAACAAACAAGAUUAUUGUCUGAAAAAAAAAACUUUGUAAAUAGUAAAGUGAUGUAGAAAUGCAGG
Molecule: long non-coding RNA, 1382 nt
Filed under: Homo sapiens (human)
Lineage: Eukaryota; Metazoa; Chordata; Mammalia; Primates; Hominidae
Description: HSALNT0052325
Source: RNAcentral